Molecule: ribosomal RNA, 27 nt
Filed under: Julbernardia pellegriniana
Lineage: Eukaryota; Viridiplantae; Streptophyta; Magnoliopsida; Fabales; Fabaceae
Description: partial 28S ribosomal RNA
Source: RNAcentral
ACGCGACCUCAGCUCAGGCGGGGCUAC